GAUGAACGCUGGCGGCGUGCCUAAUACAUGCAAGUCGAGUGAACGGACGAGAAGCUUGCUUCUCUGAUGUUAGCGGCGGACGGGUGAGUAACACGUGGAUAACCUACCUAUAAGACUGGGAUAACUUCGGGAAACCGGAGCUAAUACCGGAUAAUAUUUUGAACCGCAUGGUUCAAAAGUGAAAGACGGUCUUGCUGUCACUUAUAGAUGGAUCCGCGCUGCAUUAGCUAGUUGGUAAGGUAACGGCUUACCAAGGCAACGAUGCAUAGCCGACCUGAGAGGGUGAUCGGCCACACUGGAACUGAGACACGGUCCAGACGCCUACGGGAGGCAGCAGUAGGGAAUCUUCCGCAAUGGGCGAAAGCCUGACGGAGCAACGCCGCGUGAGUGAUGAAGGUCUUCGGAUCGUAAAACUCUGUUAUUAGGGAAGAACAUAUGUGUAAGUAACUGUGCACAUCUUGACGGUACCUAAUCAGAAAGCCACGGCUAACUACGUG
This 497-nucleotide ribosomal RNA is filed under the name uncultured bacterium. Its description in RNAcentral is "partial 16S ribosomal RNA". It matches the Rfam family "Bacterial small subunit ribosomal RNA", at positions 28 to 507 of the family's 1533-position model. The record is from RNAcentral.